Molecule: ribosomal RNA, 469 nt
Filed under: uncultured bacterium
Lineage: Bacteria
Description: partial 16S ribosomal RNA
Rfam family: Bacterial small subunit ribosomal RNA
Source: RNAcentral
GACGAACGCUGGCGGCGUGCUUAACACAUGCAAGUCGAACGGAAAGGCCCUGCUUGCAGGGUGCUCGAGUGGCGAACGGGUGAGUAACACGUGAGUGAUCUGCCCCUUACUUUGGGAUAAGCCUGGGAAACUGGGUCUAAUACUGGAUAGGACCAUGCUGUAGGUGGUGUGGUGGAAAGAUUAGUUUCGGUAAGGGAUGAGCUCGCGGCCUAUCAGCUUGUUGGUGGGGUAAUGGCCUACCAAGGCGUCGACGGGUAGCCGGCCUGAGAGGGUGGACGGCCACAUUGGGACUGAGAUACGGCCCAGACUCCUACGGGAGGCAGCAGUGGGGAAUAUUGCACAAUGGGCGCAAGCCUGAUGCAGCGACGCCGCGUGGGGGAUGACGGCCUUCGGGUUGUAAACUCCUUUCAGCCAUGACGAAGCCCUUGUGGUGACGGUAGUGGUAGAAGAAGCACCGGCUAACUACGUG